UGGCAACGGGAGAGCAAUACAUUGGUCAUCUACCCUGUACUCGUGAAUAACGCAGAGAAAUUUGUGCUAAUACACGAUAAUGAUGAGGGGACGCAAGUCAUUCUCAUUUAAAGCUCCGGCGGUACGGGAGGAGCCUAUGCACUAUCAGCUUGUUGGUGAGGUAAAAGCUCACCAAGGCUAUGACGGUUACCGGGCGUGAGAGCGUGACCCGGCUCACUGGGACUGAGACACUGCCCAGACUCCUACGGGGGGCUGCAGUCGAGAAUCUUCCACAAUGCACGAAAGUGUGAUGGAGCAAUGCCGCGUGUCGGAUGAAGGCUUUCGGGUCGUAAACGACUGUUCUGAGGGACGAAUUUGUGACGGUACCUCAGCAGAAAGGGGUUGCUAACUCUGUGCCAGCAGCAGCGGUAAUACAGAGACCCCGGGCGUUAACCGGAUUUAUUGGGCGUAAAGCGUGCGCAGGCGGUUUUGUAAGUCAUAUGUUAAAUCUUCAGGCUCAACCUGGAGGCUGCGUGUGAUACUGCAAAACUAGAAUAUGGGAGAGGUCGGCGGAAUGCCCAGUGUAGGGGUAAAAUCCGUUAAUAUUGGGUAGAACACCGAAAGCGAAGGCAGCCGACUGGAACAUUACUGACGCUGAUGCACGAAAGCGUGGGUAGCGAAUGGGAUUAGAUACCCCAGUAGUCCACGCCGUAAA
This 694-nucleotide ribosomal RNA is filed under the name uncultured bacterium. RNAcentral's name for it is "bacterial SSU rRNA". It matches the Rfam family "Bacterial small subunit ribosomal RNA", at positions 96 to 806 of the family's 1533-position model. The record is from RNAcentral.